RNAcentral lists this ribosomal RNA (127 nucleotides) under Lepisosteus oculatus (spotted gar). The record is from RNAcentral. Lineage: Eukaryota; Metazoa; Chordata; Actinopteri; Semionotiformes; Lepisosteidae.
AGUUCCAGUUAAACACCCUUACCCCACCUCGAAGUCUGACUGUGACGGAUCUGAGAAGCUAAGCAGGACAGUACCUGAUUAGUACUGGGACAGGAGACCUCCAAGGAAGACCAGGUUGCUGCUGUUA